AGAGUUUGAUCCUGGCUCAGAACGAACGCUGGCGGUAUGCCUAACACAUGCAAGUCGAACGCGAACGGAAUCUUCGGAUUCCAAGUAGAGUGGCGCACGGGUGAGUAACACGUGGAUAAUCUGCCCUAAGGUCAGGGAUAACACUUCGAAAGGGGUGCUAAUACCGGAUAAGCUCACGCCUUCUUUGGAAGAAGUGAGAAGAGAUUUAUUGCCUUAGGAUGAGUCCGCGGUCCAUUAGCUAGUUGGUGGGGUAACGGCCUACCAAGGCUGCGAUGGAUAGCUGGUCUGAGAGGAUGAUCAGCCACACUGGAACUGAGACACGGUCCAGACUCCUACGGGAGGCAGCAGUGGGGAAUUUUGCGCAAUGGGGGAAACCCUGACGCAGCAAUACCGCGUGAAGGAUGAAGGCCCUUGGGUCGUAAACUUCUGUCAGAGGGGAAGAAAUACUCGCAAGAGUGCUGACGGUACCCUCAAAGGAAGCACCGGCUAACUCCGUGCCAGCAGCCGCGGUAAUACGGAGUGUGCAAGCGUUGUUCGGAAUUAUUGGGCGUAAAGAGCAUGUAGGCGGUUUGUUAAGUCUGGUGUGAAAGCCCGGGGCUCAACCCCGGAAGUGCAUUGGAUACUGGCAGACUUGAGUAUGGGAGAGGGAAGUGGA
This 655-nucleotide ribosomal RNA is filed under the name uncultured bacterium. RNAcentral describes it as "bacterial SSU rRNA". It matches the Rfam family "Bacterial small subunit ribosomal RNA", at positions 8 to 665 of the family's 1533-position model. The record is from RNAcentral.